CUCGAUCUGAAUAAUUCUUGAUAUCAUGCUCACCCUCAUCCAAUAAUUGCUUAGUAUCGUUGUAUUGUUUACAAAUUAAAAUAUUAAAUUGAUUUCAUAAACUUCAAGAAUUCCUUGGGAAUUCUUAAGGAAUUCCUUUAAAAUUCCGUGAUAAUACAUGUGAUUGUCUAUAGUAAGGAAAUGUUAAAGGAAUUUCAGAGGAAAUUUUAGAAUUUAGAUAGUUGCAAUCAUGGGUGAGCACAUAUUUUGUGAAACUGUUUCAAAAUAAAAUUGCAUUUUAAUUAAUAAAGAAAUGCAAGAAUGUGAAAGGAACCAAAUUAUAUACAGUGAAACUUUAAAGUGGGAAAGAGAUAGGGUGGUGAAAUACGGUUAGUGUUCUAAAAUACUGAAAUAUAUGCUGUACAGGUUUUAUAUCAGUGCAUGGUUAAUAUAUGUAUAUGGGACUAGCAUUGCACUAUCUCGUGAAAAGGGAAUAUAGCGUUGAAUAGAAACUAUAAAAACCCAUUCAUAUUUCAGGCUUAAAAUUUAGACAAAUUUUAAGCCUUCAGAUAACUAUAUAAUUCUUUAUAUAGUACCUUGCUAUUGUAAGGGUAACCCAUAAUAAGGCAUGACUGUUAGUGUGCUUUAAUUACUCCACAAGAAAUAAGGGGCAAGGGAUAUUGGUAAACAAGUAUUACCAAUCAAUCCUAUUCCCUUUUAAUUAUAAUGGCCACUGUGGUCAAAGCACCGUAUAAUAAGCAAUUAUUGGAUGAGGGUGAGCAUGAUAUCAAGAAUUAUUCAGAUCGAGGUCAAUGUUAUCUGCCGAAGCGAAGCUGAGGCGGAUAACAUAGACCGAGGUCUGAAUAAUUCUUGAUAUCAUGCGAAAG
Paramuricea clavata is the source of this 866-nucleotide non-coding RNA. Lineage: Eukaryota; Metazoa; Cnidaria; Anthozoa; Malacalcyonacea; Plexauridae. The record is from the annotation of a GenBank genome assembly.